This 537-nucleotide ribosomal RNA is filed under the name uncultured bacterium. Its description in RNAcentral is "bacterial SSU rRNA". It matches the Rfam family "Bacterial small subunit ribosomal RNA", at positions 91 to 645 of the family's 1533-position model. The record is from RNAcentral.
GAAAGCGGCGGACGGGUGAGUAACGCGUGGGCAACCUGCCCCAUACAGAGGGAUAGCCACUGGAAACGGUGAUUAAUACCUCAUACUUCGCACAGGACACAUGUCUUGAGCGACAAAGAUUAAUCGGUAUGGGAUGGGCCCGCGUCUGAUUAGCUAGUUGGUAAGGUAACGGCUUACCAAGGCGACGAUCAGUAGCCGACCUGAGAGGGUGAUCGGCCACACUGGAACUGAGACGCGGUCCAGACUCCUACGGGAGGCAGCAGUGGGGAAUAUUGCACAAUGGGCGCAAGCCUGAUGCAGCAACGCCGUGUGAGUGAAGAAGGCUUUUCGGAUCGUAAAGCUCUGUCCUAAGGAAGAAAAAAAUGACGGUACCUUAGGAGGAAGCCCCGGCUGACUACGUGCCAGCAGCCGCGGUAAUACGUAAGGGGCAAGCGUUGUCCGGAAUCACUGGGCGUAAAGGGUGCGUAGGCGCUUAGCAAGCCAGGGGUGAAAGGCAUUGGCUCAACCAAUGUAAGCCUUUGGAACUGUUAAGCUUGA